RNAcentral lists this ribosomal RNA (497 nucleotides) under uncultured bacterium. RNAcentral's name for it is "partial 16S ribosomal RNA". It matches the Rfam family "Bacterial small subunit ribosomal RNA", at positions 28 to 507 of the family's 1533-position model. The record is from RNAcentral.
GACGAACGCUGGCGGCGUGCCUAAUACAUGCAAGUUGAGCGAUGAAGCUUGGUGCUUGCACCAAUUUGAAGAGCAGCGAACGGGUGAGUAACGCGUGGGGAAUCUGCCUUUGAGCGGGGGACAACAUUUGGAAACGAAUGCUAAUACCGCAUAACAACUUUAAACAUAAGUUUUAAGUUUGAAAGAUGCAAUUGCAUCACUCAAAGAUGAUCCCGCGUUGUAUUAGCUAGUUGGUGAGGUAAAGGCUCACCAAGGCGAUGAUACAUAGCCGACCUGAGAGGGUGAUCGGCCACCUUGGGACCGGGACACGGCCCAAACUCCUACGGGAGGCAGCAGUAGGGAAUCUUCGGCAAUGGACGAAAGUCUGACCGAGCAACGCCGCGUGAGUGAAGAAGGUUUUCGGAUCGUAAAACUCUGUUGGUAGAGAAGAACGUUGGUGAGAGUGGAAAGCUCAUCAAGUGACGGUAACUACCCAGAAAGGGACGGCUAACUACGUG